Molecule: long non-coding RNA, 423 nt
Filed under: Homo sapiens (human)
Lineage: Eukaryota; Metazoa; Chordata; Mammalia; Primates; Hominidae
Description: HSALNT0182120
Source: RNAcentral
UGUGAAGGCUGAGAAACACUAUGGGAAGAGACUCCCCCAAAGUCUUGAGCCCCUGUAGACCUCAAGGUAGGGAAUGGGGCCAGACCCACAUGACAAUCUCAGCAAGGCCCCCCCUCCCACCACCUCUGUCUGCUGGGAGGGAGAGUUUGGUCCUGCUGCCUAGCCCAGCUGCCCGAAAAUGUUUGAAUUCACAAACUCAUUAAUGACUGAAGUCAUUGGAGAGGUAAGGAAGAAGAGAUCUUUGUCCAGAGAGGGAGGAAGACAUAACCAACCACAGGUGGCUAAGCCAGAGGGUUCUGGGUAUGUCCCAGGUUCUCUGGGCUGCCCAGGGGAGGGAAUGAUGGAGAGGGUCUAUGGAGGUCAGAAGGCAGCCACGUCCUGAGGACCAGCUGCACACACAUAUGCAGGACCAGCCUCGAAGCC